This 74-nucleotide transfer RNA is filed under the name Rhodospirillales bacterium. RNAcentral's name for it is "tRNA-Asn". The stretch from base 5 to 64 matches the Rfam family "tRNA", at positions 7 to 64 of the family's 71-position model. Rfam says of the family: Transfer RNA (tRNA) molecules are approximately 80 nucleotides in length. Their secondary structure includes four short double-helical elements and three loops (D, anti-codon, and T loops). Further hydrogen bonds mediate the characteristic L-shaped molecular structure. tRNAs have two regions of fundamental functional importance: the anti-codon, which is responsible for specific mRNA codon recognition, and the 3' end, to which the tRNAs corresponding amino acid is attached (by aminoacyl-tRNA synthetases). tRNAs cope with the degeneracy of the genetic code in two manners: having more than one tRNA (with a specific anti-codon) for a particular amino acid; and 'wobble' base-pairing, i.e. permitting non-standard base-pairing at the 3rd anti-codon position. The record is from RNAcentral. Lineage: Bacteria; Pseudomonadati; Pseudomonadota; Alphaproteobacteria; Rhodospirillales.
CCCAGUAGCUCAGUCGGCAGAGCAGGUGGCUGUUAACCACCGUGUCGUAGGUUCGAGUCCUACCGCCGGAGCCA